UACGAAGGGGGCUAGCGUUGUUCGGAAUUACUGGGCGUAAAGCGCGCGCAGGCGGUCUUCCAAGUCAGUGGUGAAAUCCUGGAGCUCAACUCCAGAACUGCCUUUGAUACUGAAAGUCUUGAGUAUGGGAGAGGUGAGUGGAACUGCGAGUGUAGAGGUGAAAUUCGUAGAUAUUCGCAAGAACACCAGUGGCGAAGGCGGCUCACUGGCCCAUUACUGACGCUGAGGCACGAAAGCGUGGGGAGCAAACAGG
This 253-nucleotide ribosomal RNA is filed under the name uncultured bacterium. RNAcentral's name for it is "partial 16S ribosomal RNA". It matches the Rfam family "Bacterial small subunit ribosomal RNA", at positions 524 to 776 of the family's 1533-position model. The record is from RNAcentral.